UGAGAAAAACGAGUCGCGAAAAGCUACCAGGAACGCUCAACGUGAAAUCAUUUAAGUUUGGCAAGUUGGCAUUAUUGUCCUGUCAAAUAAGCACUUCCGGAAAAAGAAGAUAGAAGUGUGCAGUGCGAAAGGGGCAUCCUCCCGGAAAAAAAAGUCCGCGCGAUAAGAAAAGAUUUCGCUGAUUUCGCUCCACCACAAAGCGUAACGAUACCGGGCCGCCAGCACCUGAAACGUGCGCAGGAAGAUUGUGACAGCGGGAAAGAGGAUUGCUCAUCCGCAUGCGAUUUCCUCCAUCACAAACAGAAGAGGAGAAUAUCCAAGGUAAGCGGACAAAAUCAACGCCUUCAAAGCACCAACUAAUUGCUUCUCAUCCACCGCGCUACAGGGCCAUUAGCACCCAAAACAGGCGUGAGAGCUAGAAGGAACUCCGCAGAUCCGCAUGCAAUCUUCUCUGUCAUACAACGAGGCGGAAAAAACACUAUAGGGCCGAAAAAACAUCUGGUAUCGGGGCUUCUAGCAUUCGAAGUCUGCACGCCAAGAGCAGAGAAAUCCGGAGCUACUGUGGUGAAAGUCGAUCAUCGAUAUCGAUUUCUGAAAUCGCGAAGGACUCAAGAAUAGCGAAGGUAAGCAGAAAAAGAAAACUGCCAAUCAAGGAGUAGAUGCUAAUCAAAUCCCAAUCCUCAGAUAUCGCCUCACUAUCCACCACAAAAGAAAGGACUGAGACAGAAAAGCGAUAGAGGAAGUUUGGUAGAAGAGCCAACCAAAUCAAAAGGGUCGUCAGCGUAAGUAAAACCCCUUUUUGAUCACAUUCUCUGGCCUAACCGGAAAUCUCAUUCCUCCAGGACCCUUUUUUUAUUC
Molecule: long non-coding RNA, 858 nt
Organism: Uranotaenia lowii
Lineage: Eukaryota; Metazoa; Arthropoda; Insecta; Diptera; Culicidae
Exons: 3
Source: RefSeq, a predicted model, not a curated record